GAUGAAGAACGCAGCGAAAUGCGAUAAUUAAUGUGAAUUGCAGAAUUUAGUGAAUCAUCGAAUCUUUGAACGCACAUUGCGCCCCCUGGUAUUCCGGGGGGCAUGCCUGUUCGAGCGUCAUUUCACCACUCAAGCCUCGCUUGGUAUUGGGCAACGCGGUCCGCCGCGUGCCUCAAAUCGUCCGGCUGGGUCUUCUGUCCCCUAAGCGUUGUGGAAACUAUUCGCUAAAGGGUGUUCGGGAGGCUACGCCGUAAAACAACCCCAUUUCUAAGGUUGACCUCGGAUCAGGUAGGGAUACCCGCUGAACUUAAGCAUAUCAAUAAGCGGAGGA
Molecule: unclassified non-coding RNA, 331 nt
Filed under: soil metagenome
Description: partial contains 5.8S ribosomal RNA, internal transcribed spacer 2, and large subunit ribosomal RNA
Rfam family: 5.8S ribosomal RNA (bases 1-120)
Source: RNAcentral